UCCCCUGUGCCCUCUGGACUCUGGCCUCGCCCAGGGCCGAUUGGGUGUUGGGGGAGGACGGGCCUGGACAGCAAGAAUCUCCUCUGUGUGAGCAAGUCGCUGCCCUUCAGCCACAAGCCAGGGCCGGUGGUGGAGUCCGGCUGGCUCUAGGAUGUGCCCCCUCACUUCACGGAAGGUCCCCCCUCCAUGCCCACCUUGUAUGGCCCCAGUUCUGCAGCCAUGACUUUGGGGUGCACUGGUGAGGAGAUGGCCCAGGACAUCUGGGUCAAGCCUGAGGACCAAAGCUGCAGCCCCCUCUGCUCGGGAAAGGGAGUGAGAAGGGAUCUGCUGCCCUCCUGACACAGAACCCGAAGGUGCUGGCCAAAAGCCCCACCCUGAGUUUUGAAAAAGGAAAUUAAAAAAAAAACGUGGAA
Long non-coding RNA from Neogale vison (American mink), 413 nucleotides. RefSeq lists it as uncharacterized. The record is from RefSeq and is a predicted model, not a curated record. NCBI's taxonomy places the organism in Eukaryota, Metazoa, Chordata, Mammalia, Carnivora, Mustelidae. The transcript has 4 exons.